Molecule: long non-coding RNA, 2978 nt
Organism: Lepidothrix coronata (blue-crowned manakin)
Lineage: Eukaryota; Metazoa; Chordata; Aves; Passeriformes; Pipridae
Exons: 2
Source: RefSeq, a predicted model, not a curated record
AUAGCCGGCAAAGACCCCAGAGCCCUCAAAGAACCUAUUGACCCCAAAGCCUCCAUUGCCUUCACAGCCCCUAUAGCCACCAUAGCCGGCAAAGACCCCAGAGCCCUCAAAGAACCUAUAGACCUCAAAGCCCCCAUUGCCCUCACAGACCUCACAGCCCCCAUGACCCUCUACAGCUCUCAAAGUCCUUAGAGCCCUUAUAGCCCUCACAGACCCCACAGCAUCUUCAGGACUUUUAUCACACCUCAGGAUAUGAAGUAGAUGAGGAAUUAAGUACACUAAAAAAAAAGCAACUCUCAUGAAGUGUUUUAGCUGGAGAGUCCAUUAUGCUGCAAAAAGUUAUUUCCAGGUUCAAACAGAUGUGCUGGUUAUGAGUAUUCACUUCUCUUGUAUACAUACAGACUGCUCUCUUUACACAAAGUCUUAUUUUUCUAGGCUUGGCUAUGUCUCAGAUUUUUCAGAUGUCCAACUGAAUUCCCUUCAGUUGCGCUCCAGUACGACUCAAGGUCAAGUUGUGUGGGCUCCUGGUAGUUCUUUGCGUUCUCCCAGGAGCUCUCUGGAAUUGAAAGGAGGUGCCCAAAACUGAGCUCUGUUCUUCAUGAAAGCCUUUUUUGAGCUCAGUGGAGCAGAAGAAUUAUUUCGCUCUUGUCUUUUACAGCCUUUUCCUACGUUUCAGUAGCAUAGUCACAUUUUUUGUGGUGACUCAUUUUCUAUUUGUGAACUGCUACAAACCAAGAUUUUCUGUAAAGUGACUGCUUCGCCACUUUGUCUUCAGCUCACAGUUUUGCAGCCAAUUAUUCCCAGCUAUAUGUAAUAGUUUCUCACCUUAUUGAAUUACAUCCUGUUUAGUUCAGAUCUUUGUUCCAACUUGUCAUGAUUUGUUCAAUACUAAUUACAUCUUCCAAAAUGCUUACAGCUCCCGCCUGAACAGGGUAUCUUCCACAAAUAUGAUAAAAAUAUUCCUUAGCCUCUUGCCUCACAGAAGCAGUUCAGGACUUGGGACGUGGGCAUCUGGAGGACUCUCUGCAAACUUGACACUAUUUCUGAGCGCCAUUUUGUAACCAUUUCACUUAAGUGUUGUGUAGCCAGCUUCUUGACCUUGCUUCAUCAGAAGCCUUGCUUCAGUCAAGAUUCCAUAAUUUGCUUUUUUUUUGAUGUUAUGGUUGAUUAUUCAACUUAUCAUCUGACGCCUUACAAAUAAUUUGCAAUUAGUUUACAAAUAAUUUCUUCCAGUAUUUUGCCUGAUACAAAAUAAAGGUGACUGGCCUCUGAUUCCCACCCUUUUCUGGUUUAGGGUAGGCACUAUUUCCUUUUUGCUGGUCUCAUGGAACCUCAGCUGUCUUUUUGGAGUUUUUGAAAGGAAUUGCUCAUAGCUUGGAGAUUACUUAACCAUUUUCCUAAAUGUGUUGUCUAAAAUUGCAGAUUAUUUUUGUAAGCAUCCUACUUGAAUAGAUUGUUUCUUUCCUUAGUUUAGCUUGAUCAUUGGUUUGCAUGUUGUUAACAUGUGCUGGGUUUGGCUGGGGUAGAGCUAAUUCUCUUCACAGUAGCUGGUGUGGGGCUGUGUUUUGGGUUGGGUAUAUUCUCUUCCCUUGUUAACCACCUGGUUACAGCUGACAUUUUGGUGAAGAGCAAAGCAAAAACCAUGAGGCUUUGGUUUUCCUCAAAUGACUUGGGAACACUUUCCUUGCCCAGCUGAGAGCAAGUCCUUCCCCAACAAUCUUUCACGUAAGCUUUUUGUUUUUACUCUCCGUGGCUUCUUGACAGUUUUAGCUUAUAUUGUGUGUUAAUCUUUGUGUUGUUGAUUGUGAGAAAUAGAGACCCAAAGCCGGAUAAUUUCCAAUUAGAAUUUAUUAUAUGAUAAAAGCAAAUUCAGCGCUGGGUGAUCAGGGGGGAGUUUGAGCAACUCUGAACGCCUGUCACACCCAAAGCAGACAGUGUUCUAUAUUUAUUCUCAGCUACUUCAUGAAUAUUCAUUAUACAUAAGCAUAAACAUUACACAUUGUUAUGUCAGGAAUUCAACAGAUGUUUUUCUUAGACAAGAGUGUAUCUACAUACAAGCAUCAAUAUAUAUUGUUAAGUCAGACAUUCAACAGAUGUUUUCUUAGACUUAGCUUGUUGUGUAUACAAAGUUAUAAAUUUUCAAGAAAGGUGUUAUUAUCUAGUUAACUAAACGAAGUCUCCUCACUAUAAAUUUUGUACAAGGUAAAAGAGAGGUAACUUGUUUUAUGUCUUUAUAGGGGCCCAAUUAAGUUUUGUGAUUUGUUUUUCUUUUCUCUCUCUAGGUUAUAUUGACCUUAUGCUGUUUUCUUUUUAAUUAGCUUGAAUCAUUCCCUUAGUUUAUUACAUUGAUUUUAAUAAUUUAACCUAGAUUUUGCUUUUUUAAAAGGGGCAAGCCAUUGAAAUAUUUCAAUUUAAACAGACUCUUCCCUUCCUUUCUUGCUUUCUCACUGCAGUGGUCUAGUUGCAGCCUUGAUGUUUGUUGGAAAUAAAUAGGACGGUUUUAUUGCAAGCAGGGGUUUCCAUGGCUGCCUCGUGCCGGGGCACUUGGGAACCAUUUUGUUUGAAGGACUGGGGAGCCAUUUUGUGGUCGGGGACUGGUGGACAGCUUGUGGUUCUACUUGAAGUUGCUUAUUGCUGCUGCCUACCUGCUGCUACACACAGUUCUGCUUGGGUGCGAAGGCGAGCCUGGAAGAAUGUAAGGUGGUGAGAGUAGCCUGGGCUCACUGCCAGGGAACCAUGCGGCCUGGGCGGGGAAACAACCUGACAGGUGGAUGAGGGCAACCAAUGGGCUGCACCAGAAAGCAAAGCUCGCCUUUUAAGGAAGAAAAGAGCCGGCAUGGGAGGAGCGAGGGAGUGGCUAUGUUAAAUUGAAGGGUCUUAAAAGGGCUCGUCCCUCCAUCCAGGUGUGCUUGAACUGGGUCACAAGUUCGAUGCACCCAGUAUGCUGUUAAAUAAAGUUCCUUGUUUGUUUCACUUUA